This 438-nucleotide ribosomal RNA is filed under the name uncultured bacterium. RNAcentral describes it as "bacterial SSU rRNA". It matches the Rfam family "Bacterial small subunit ribosomal RNA", at positions 954 to 1392 of the family's 1533-position model. The record is from RNAcentral.
GCUAAACGCGAAGAACCUUACCAAGGCUUGACAUGCAUCUCUAAGCGCGUGAAAGCGCGUGACCCUUCGGGGAAUUUGCACAGGUGCUGCAUGGCCGUCGUCAGCUCGUGUCGUGAGAUGUUGGGUUAAGUCCCGCAACGAGCGCAACCCCUGUGAUUAGUUGCCAGCGGAUAAUGCCGGGGACUCUAGUCAGACUGCCCAGAUCAACUGGGAGGAAGGUGGGGACGACGUCAGGUCAGUAUGGCCCUUACGCCUUGGGCUGCACACGUACUACAAUGCCCAGUACAAUGAGAACCGAGACCGCGAGGUGGAGGAAAUCUGCAAAACUGGGCCCAGUUCGGAUUGGAGGCUGCAACUCGCCUCCAUGAAGCCGGAAUCGCUAGUAAUGCUGCAUCAGCUACGGCAGCGUGAAUACGUUCCCGGGUCUUGUACACACCG